This 1512-nucleotide long non-coding RNA is filed under the name Phascolarctos cinereus (koala). RNAcentral describes it as "lncRNA (ENSPCIG00000022076.2)". The record is from RNAcentral. Lineage: Eukaryota; Metazoa; Chordata; Mammalia; Diprotodontia; Phascolarctidae.
AGCUUCUGUUAAGCUGAUCCCUCGUGUUUCUGGUAGCCUCAGCCAUCUAGAUAGACACGUGUCUCAGGACUUCAGUAUUGUAAUGAAGGGUAUAGCCACUUGAUUUCGUAUUGUACAUGAAAUAAGUAUCAUUGAUUUCCCAGCUUGGCAUCUUGUUAUCUCUCGUAGCCUGAGUUACAUUGAACAACAGUGAAGUGAGGAACUGGAGAGCCUGCUGGAAGCAAAUACGCUGGCAGGGACAGCUGACAGAGAGGGAAGGGUCUGGACAAACCGCCAAAGCCCGUCAUCAGUGUGAGGCCACUGGGCUCGGGCUCAUAGAGCCCUCCAUGACUAAGGUCUGCUGCGUGCGAGGCACUCUUAGGGCCGGGGAUACAGAGCCAAAGACAAACAGCCUCUUUCCUCCAGGAGCUUCACACUGGGAUGUAUACAUGCUGCCUGCCUGCCUGCAUUUAGACAAGCCACCUUGCUCUGAACUCCCUGUGUUAUGUUGUACCAGCAAGAAAUUCCUUUGAGCUAAUAGUCAAGCAACUCUGAGAGCAUUAGAGGAGCAGUGAGGUAGGUAGGAAUGGUAUUAGUCACCCCUACCUGGAUUGGUUUCAUCAAAUUCCUUUUCUCUAUACCAAGUGAACAUAUAUCCACCAAGAAAAUGGGAGGAUGGGCAUGGGGGCAGAGGAAGGAAAACCAAUUAGAAAUAAUUUUGCAUUCUGGUCAGAAGAGGAGAGUCCUUGGCGACUUGUUGCUGUGAGAGACUUUGGAUAGCAAGAGGGCCGAGUCAAAGUACAGAGUUCUGAGAAGGAAGUUCAGGUAGUGUUGUUCCUGCCCUGCCUUCUGCCCCCUCCCAGGGCCAAGGUGUGAUUGGACUUAGUGAUGAUCAGCAUAGAAACCUGAUUGUUGGGGGAGCACAUGGAUGCCGGGUAGGGUAGGCCUAGGACUGAUUAUAAAUUGAAAGCAUGUGUCUGCUGUAUGCUGCCCAACUUAGUGGGAGUAGAGGCACUUUUUAGCAUGGUAAAUCAUGAAUAUUAACAGUUAAGGCUGGAGGACACUUAAAGCCAGGGAAGUCAGAAUGGUAGGGCUGGGAGGGAAUCUAGAACAUGGGGAUGUCAGGAAAAGGAACCUCAGGUUAUGGAAUGUUUUCUUCCUCUAUCAGCCCUGACACAUACUGGCUCUUUGAUCCUGGCCAGGUCAUUGAAACAGUGCCCCAGACAGGGGCCCACUCGUCUGUACGGAUAGAAUUUCCACUACACGAGAGGUCAUAGGAGACUGGAGGCUCAUCGAACCUUUCAGAGACCUCUCAAAUACCAGGGACGUUUUAGAGAUGCCUCAUGCAUUUCAGCUGGGUGGCUUUGCCUGGUCGAGGUGACAGAGCAUUAAUGAAUGGCUCCAGACAUCGGAUGACCCAGAGACUAUUGUUCUUCUCAUCUAGGACAGUGGGACCAUGGUGGCGGCCCUCACCUUCUCCCGUGGGCACCGUCUGAAUCAAAUGAAUGAAAGCAUUGUGGAGAUAGUAUUUAU